Molecule: ribosomal RNA, 450 nt
Filed under: uncultured bacterium
Lineage: Bacteria
Description: partial 16S ribosomal RNA
Rfam family: Bacterial small subunit ribosomal RNA
Source: RNAcentral
GUGGGGAAUAUUGGACAAUGGGCGAAAGCCUGAUCCAGCCAUGCCGCGUGUGUGAAGAAGGUCUUCGGAUUGUAAAGCACUUUAAGUUGGGAGGAAGGGUAGUAACCUAAUACGUUGCUACUUUGACGUUACCGACAGAAUAAGCACCGGCUAACUUCGUGCCAGCAGCCGCGGUAAUACGAAGGGUGCAAGCGUUAAUCGGAAUUACUGGGCGUAAAGCGCGCGUAGGUGGUUCAGUAAGUUGGAAGUGAAAUCCCCGGGCUCAACCUGGGAACUGCUUUCAAAACUGCUGAGCUAGAGUACGGUAGAGGGUGAUGGAAUUUCCUGUGUAGCGGUGAAAUGCGUAGAUAUAGGAAGGAACACCAGUGGCGAAGGCGACCACCUGGACUGAUACUGACACUGAGGUGCGAAAGCGUGGGGAGCAAACAGGAUUAGAAACCCGAGUAGUCC